GAGAAACACACCAAAUGCCAGAGGCUCCUUCCUUCCUUCUUCAGACAGUCAGUAUGGAUUGGGGGGUCCUGCCACUUUUCAGAUAAACAAAUCUUCUGUGCCGGUGGUUUUGCUGAAUAUCUUCUCCCCUCAAGCCUUGCAGAGGGCAGGGAUAUAUACCAACUACACCCAGGAAGGAGGUACAGAUGACUCUACUUUUUGAAGUUGACCUUCCCCAGAAACCAGGACCUACAGAGAAGCAAACUUCUAUUUGCUUUUAAAAAGAAGAAGAAGA
RNAcentral lists this long non-coding RNA (274 nucleotides) under Mustela putorius furo (domestic ferret). RNAcentral's name for it is "lncRNA (ENSMPUG00000026376.1)". The record is from RNAcentral. Lineage: Eukaryota; Metazoa; Chordata; Mammalia; Carnivora; Mustelidae.